Molecule: ribosomal RNA, 639 nt
Filed under: Photobacterium damselae subsp. piscicida
Lineage: Bacteria; Pseudomonadati; Pseudomonadota; Gammaproteobacteria; Vibrionales; Vibrionaceae
Description: bacterial SSU rRNA
Rfam family: Bacterial small subunit ribosomal RNA
Source: RNAcentral
CACUGGACUGAGACACGGUCCAGACUCCUACGGGAGGCAGCAGUGGGGAAUAUUGCACAAUGGGGGAAACCCUGAUGCAGCCAUGCCGCGUGUGAGAAGAAGGCCUUCGGGUUGUAAAGCACUUUCAGUAGGGAGGAAGGUAGUGUAGUUAACACCUGCACUAUUUGACGUUACCUACAGAAGAAGCACCGGCUAACUCCGUGCCAGCAGCCGCGGUAAUACGGAGGGUGCGAGCGUUAAUCGGAAUUACUGGGCGUAAAGCGCAUGCAGGCGGCCUGUUAAGUCAGAUGUGAAAGCCCGGGGCUUAACCUCGGAAUUGCAUUUGAAACUGGCAGGCUAGAGUCUUGUAGAGGGGGGUAGAAUUUCAGGUGUAGCGGUGAAAUGCGUAGAGAUCUGAAGGAAUACCAGUGGCGAAGGCGGCCCCCUGGACAAAGACUGACGCUCAGAUGCGAAAGCGUGGGGAGCAAACAGGAUUAGAUACCCUGGUAGUCCACGCCGUAAACGAUGUCUACUUGGAGGUUGUGGCCUUGAGCCGUGGCUUUCGGAGCUAACGCGUUAAGUAGACCGCCUGGGGAGUACGGUCGCAAGAUUAAAACUCAAAUGAAUUGACGGGGGCCCGCACAAGCGGUGGAGCAUGUG